UUGUGAAGUGUGAACAGCUGACACAACCAGCCUCUGUGACUGUGCAGCCAGGUCAACGUCUGACCAUCACCUGUCAGGUCUCUUAUUCUGUGAGCAGCUACUACACAGCUUGGAUCAGACAGCCUGCAGGGAAAGGACUGGAGUGGAUUGGAGUUGCUCAAGUUGGACAAACCACAUACUACAAAGAUUCACUAAAGAACAAGUUCAGUAUCGACUUAGAUUCUUCCAGCAACACAAUGACUCUACAUGGACAGAAAGUGCAGCCUGAAGACUCUGCUGUGUAUUACUGUGCCAGAUACCCACAGUAA
Molecule: non-coding RNA, 308 nt
Organism: Monopterus albus (swamp eel)
Lineage: Eukaryota; Metazoa; Chordata; Actinopteri; Synbranchiformes; Synbranchidae
Source: the annotation of a RefSeq genome assembly